This 6738-nucleotide long non-coding RNA is filed under the name Sus scrofa (pig). RNAcentral describes it as "lncRNA (ENSSSCG00025061865.1)". The record is from RNAcentral. Lineage: Eukaryota; Metazoa; Chordata; Mammalia; Artiodactyla; Suidae.
GUUUUCCAUUCACAGACUCUUUAUGAAAGAACUACAUUAAAAUGUACAUCAGUGAACAGGAAAAAUGAACCAAAGAGAAAGGAUUCAAGAAGCACUAAGUAAGCAAUGAACAACCUGAAAACAACAUUAAGAAACAAUUCCAUUUAUACUGGCAUCAAAAAGAAUAAACCACUUAGGGAGUUCCCUUCCUGGCUCAGCAGUUAAUGAACCCAACUAGGAUCCAUGAGGAUGCAGGUUAGAUCCUUGGCCUUGCUCAGUGGUUUAAGAAUCUGGCGUUGCUGUGAGCUGUGGUGUAGGUCAGUGGCUGCAGCCCCAAUUAAACCCCUAGCCUGGGAACUUUCAUAUGCAGUGGGUGCAGCCAAAAAAAAAAAAAGAGAGAGAGAGAGAAAGAAGAAGAAUAAACCACUUAGGAAUAAAUUUUUAAAGAGUACAAAAAAGUGUAAAAGUUGUACUCUGAAAAAUAUAUAACAUUUUUAAAGGAAAGUCCUAAAUAAAUGGAAAGACAUCUUAUGUUUAUGGAUUGAAAGAUUUAUAAUUGUUAAGAUGACAAUAUUUCCAUAGUCAUCUAUAGAUUCAUUGCAAUACCUAUCAAAACACCAGCUAGCUUUUUGUGCAAAAAUUGAGAAAAUGGUACUAAAAUUCAUAUGUAAGUCCAAGGGAUCCAGAAUAGCAAUCUCAAACAAGAAGAAUAAAGUUGGAGGACUCAUACUCUCAGAUUUCAAAACUUAUUACAUAGUUACAGGAAUAAACACGGUGUGAUCCUGGAUUAAGAUUAGACAUUGAAGGAAUUCCCACUGUUGCACAGUGGGUUAAGGAUCCAGCAUUGUCUCUGAGGUGGCACAGUUUGUUUGAUCUCUGGACUGAAGCAGUGGGUUAAAGGAUCUGGUGUUGCCUCAUCUGUGGCAUAGAUUGCAGCUGAGGCUCGGAUUUGAUUCCUGGCCUGGGAACUUCUAAAUGCCACAGGUGCAGCCAAAAAAGAAAGAAAGAAAGAAAAAAAAAAAAGAAUAAAUAUGUAGAUCAAUGGCAAAGAGUCCAAAAAUAAACCCUAAAUUUAUAGUCAACUGAUUUCUGACAAGGAUACCAGACAUUUAAUGGGGAAAGAAUAAUCUUUUUCAACAAACAGUACUUGGAUAACUGGUUAGCUACCUGCAAAAGAAAGAAGCUGGACCUCUUCCUUACUCGAUACAUAAAAAUUUAAUUCAAAAUUAUCAUAGGAGUUCCCGUUGUGGCUUAGCAGUAACAAACCUGUCUAGUAUCCAUGAGGAUGCAGGUUUGAUCCCUGGCCUCACUCAGUGGGUUAAGGAUCUGGCAUUGCUGUGAGCUGUGUGUAGGUCACAGACGUGGCUUGGACCCCAUGUUGCUGUGGCUGUGGUGUAGGCUGGCAGCUGCAGCUUUGAUUUGACCCCUAGCUUAGGAACUUCCAUAUGCUGUGGUGUGGCCCUAAAAAAGACAAAAAACAAACAAAUAAACAAAACCACAAAAUUAUCAUAGACCUAAAUGUAAGAGCUAAAACUAUAAAAUUCUUAGAAGAAACAUAGGGAUAAAUCUUCAUGACCUUCUUAGACGUAAUAACAACAAAAGCAACAAAAGAAAAAUAUAUAAAUUGGGUUAUCCAAAUUAAAAACUUUUGGGCUUCAAAGAAUACUAUCAAGAAAUUGAAAAGACAACCCACAGAAUAGGAAAAAAUAUUGUAAAUCAUAGAUAAGAGAUUUAUAUCUAUAUUACAUGAAGAAUUCUCACAACUCAAUGAUAAUAGCCCAGUUUUAAAAUGGACUAAGGAUCUGAAUCUCCAAAAGAAAAAUACAAACAGCCAAAAAUAUAUUGAGCUGCUUAACAUUAGGGAAAUGUAAAUCAAAACCAUGGGAUACCACUUGAAAACAUGAUGUUAAAUCAAAGAUGCCAGUCACAAAGGACCAUAUACUAUAUAAUGCCAUUUCAAUGACUGUCAAGAAUAGGCAAAUCUAGGGAUGCAGAAAGCAGAUUAGUGAUGGCUUAGGGCUUGGAGGGUUGGAAGAAAAUGAGAUGUGACUGCUCAUGGGUAUGAGGUUUCUUUUGGAAGUCAUGAAAGUGUUCCACAGUUGAUUCUGCUGGUUGUCGUGCAACUCUGUGAAUGCACUAAAAACCCCUGAGAUGUAAACUUUAAGUGGGUGAAUAAUCUCUCAGUAAAGGUGUUUUAAAAAGAAACAACAGAGAGUAAAAAAAAAACAAAAAAAACAAAAAAAAAAACUUGAUAGGUAUAUAAUAUGUGAGGAGAGGAAGAAAGAGAUGAAACAUCCUAAGGUCAAUAUUUUGUUUGAAAGGAAAGUGAGGUGUAUUGACUGACCUACAUGAUUGUUUACCGGUAUGCUUGCUAAAUUUAAAAGUAAAUAGGAAUAAAAUAUACAAACAGUUUAUACUACUUAAUAACAAAAAAAAACCUCCAAACAAUCCAAAUGAAAAAUGGGCAGAAGAUCUAAAUAGAUUUUUCUCCAAAGGAGACAUGCAGAUGGUCAACAGGCACAGGAAAAAAUGCUAAACAUCACAAAUUGUUAGAGAAAUGCAAACCAAAACCACAAUGAGGUACCACCUCACACCAGUCAGAAUGGCUACCAUUAAAAAGUCUACAAAUAACAAAUGCUAGAGAAGGUGUGGAGAAAAGGGAACCUUCCUACAGUGUUGGUGGGAAUGUAAAUUGGUACAACUCCACUACGGAGAACAGUAUGGAGUUUCCUUAAAAAACUAAAAAUAGAGUCACUAUAUCAUCUAGCAAUCUCACUCCUGGGCAUACAUCCAGAGAAAAGUCUAAUUCAGAAAGAUACAUGCACCCCUAUGUUCACAGCAGCACAGUUUACAAUAGCCAAUACAUGGAAACAACAUAAGUAUUCAUUGACAAAUGAAUAGAUAAAGAAGAUGUGAGUGUGUGUGUGUAUACACAUGUGAUGUGUAUAUAUAUAUGAUGCGGUAUUGCUCAGCCAUAAUAAAGAAUGAAAAAAAUGCCAUCUGCAGCAACAUAGAGAUUAUCAUAUUAGGCAAAGUAAGAGAGAAAGACAAAUACUAUAUAAUAUCACUUAUAUGUGGAAUCUUAAAAAAAGUACAAAUGAACUUAUUUAUAAAACAGAAACAGGAGUUCCCGUUGUGGUGCAGUGGUUAACGAAUCCGACUAGGAACCAGGAGGUUGCAGGUUCGAUCCCUGGCCUUGCCCAGUGGGUUAAGGAUCUGGCAUUGCCAUGAGCUGUGUUUUAGGUUGCAGACGUGGCUCAGAUUCCGCGUUGCUGUGGCCCUGGCGUAGGCCGGUGGCUACAGCUCCAAUCCAACUCCUGGCCUGGGAACCUCCAUAUGCCGCAGAAGCAGCCCUAGAAAAGGCAAAAAGACAACAACAACAACAACAACAACAACAACAACAACAACAAAAAGAAAAGAAACAGGCCCAUAGGCAUAGAAAACAAACUUAUGGUUACCAAAGAGGAAGGUUGGGAGGGAUAAAUUGGGAGUAUGGGAAUAACAGAUGUACACCACCAUACAUAAAACAGAUAAAGACAAGGAUUUACUGUAAGGCACAGGGAAGUAUAUUCGAUAUCUUUUACUAAAAUAUAGUGGAAAAGAAUUUAAAAAAGAAUAUAUAUAUAUAAACUGAAUCAAUUCGCUGUACACCUGAAACUAACACAAUAUUGUACAUCAAUUAUACUUCAAGAAAAAAGAAAAAAGUAAAUAGGAAAAAGUAGAAAUAUCAUCACUUGAAAGAAAAAAAGGAUCACCUCUACAGAAGUACGAAAAAGAUAAAAAGAACAACAUGGUGAAUGGAAAGCCCCAAAUAAGAUUAAAGAAUAAAUUCAUUACAGCAUAUAAUCAUAAUAAUGUAAUAGAGUGCUUAAAAACUGAAGUUCAGAUUUCAUUUGAAUAGAUCCAACUAUAUGUAGUGAUUUUUUUAAAAAUUGCAUUUCUGCUUGUUUCUGGUAAUUACGAUGAGAUUGCAUCUGAAUAUGUUUUCUUGUCUUGUUCCUGACUUUAAGUAGGAUGCUCUUAGCAUUUUGCCAUAAAGAAUAAUAUUUGUUUAGGAUUAUGGUAGAUACUUUUCUCCAGGUUAAGGAAUUUUUCUUCUAUUCCUAGUUCACCAAGAGAAAUUAUAUUCAGAAUGUUGAGAGAAAAUACCUGCCAAUUUAGAAUUCCACACACAGUUAAACUGUCAUUCAAGAAGGAGGGUAAAAUAAAAGGGUAUACCAUUUACAACACUAUUAAAAAACUAUCAGGUACAAGGGAGUACGUCUUUAGAAAGAUGUGAAAAUCUUUUAUGGAGAACACUAAAGCUUUAUCGAAAUACAAUGAAUAAAUGGAGCGAUAUAGUAUAUUCAUGUAUGGGAAGACAAGAUCCUGUCAGUAGUAGUUCUCCUAAAUUUACACUACAACUUAAUAAACUCUAUUAUAAGUCCUGGGAAAUGUUUGUUUAGGGACCUAUAUAAGCAGAUCAUAAAACCCACUCAGAAGAGUAAAGGGCCAAGAACAGCCAAAACAAUGUUGAAACAGACAAAGGACUCACCCUAGCAGAUAAACAAGAUUUAUCAUUAAGUUAUAGUAAUUAAAGUACUCUGAUAUCAGCAUUUGGAUAAAAAGACCAAUGGAAGAGCUUUUCUGAAAAACCUAGAAACACUAACAUAUACAUAGAAAUGUGAAAUAUGACAGAGGUGACGUUACAAAUCAGUGAGGAAAGGAUGAUUAUUUCAUAAAUGACACUGGGACUAUUUGGUAAUAGUAUUUUCAAGGAGAAAAAUUAGAUUCAUACUUCACAGUAUGCACAAAAGUAGUAAAUUUCCGAUAUGUUACAGAGAGAGCUGUAAACAUUUAGACAGACUAUAGGAAAAUACAUACAACAUCCGAGAAGGUCACAGAGCAAAAAUCAUUACGGAAAAGUGAGAAAUUGAACUACAAAAUUUUUAAAAAUGAGCCCAUGACAAAUGACAUCAAUAACAAAGUAAAAAGACAAGCACAGACUCUGGGAAAAUAUUAACAAUCUACCUUUCCGAUCAGAGAUAACUAUCCAAACUAUAAAAUAAGUUCUUUGAAAGAAGCAAGAAAAAAAAAGGGAAACCACCAAACAGCAAAAAGACAAAGAAUAUGAAGGAACAAUUAGCAGCACAGGACAUUUUAUGGUCAAUAGACUCAUGAAAAUACUUUGACAUCACUAGCAGUCAAGAAGAUGCAAAUUGAAAACAGAAGAUAUUAUUGCAUUCCUAUUAGUGAAAAAAUUUAAAACUCUGACAAUAGCAACAAUACCAGUUGUGAGAAUGGAGAAAUGAAAACUUUCAUCCACUGCUAGUGGAAAUAUAAUAUGAUCUAACCACUGCAGAAAGCAAUCAGCCAAUGCCUGGUAAAGUUAAUGCAUAACCUAUGACCAACGAUUCCAUCUUUAUGUGCCUAGAAGUUCUUGAGCGAUACAUGGACCCAAGCAAAUACAAACAAAAGAGUGUUCUUUUCAGCAUUCCAUGUAAUAGUUAAAAAGUGGAAACAAGCUACCUGAUCUUCAGGAGUCAAAUUGGCAAAUAAAACGGGAAUUAUUUAUACAAUGCAACACUGCACAGCAGAUAACAUGAGUGAAUUAGAUCUGUAUCAUCCACAUGGAUAAGUCUAAAAUACGUAAAGCUAAGCUAAAAAGAUGCAAGGUAAAUAUUUAUAGGUGAUAUCUAUACAAAAUGUUGACUAAAUGAAACAAUUGUACGUAUUUUUCACCAAUACACUAAAGAUACCAAAUUCUUCCUGGUUAUGAUUCACAUCUAUAAAGCAGAGAGGGAUGUGCCUCCUAAUCCAGGGGUCCUAAUACUACAAAGUCUAGACAGAUCCUUGCCUUUACACAUCAUGAAAUGUAGCAAGAAUGACUAAGCCAUUGCUGAGAAUUUAGCACUAUGUAUGCGCUUAUGUACAAAGAACACUAAAGGACAUCACUUGGUUUUGGUAUCAAUAGCCAGUUUCUCUUUCCUAAGGAACUGAUGAUAAUAACCCUCAACAGGUGGGGCUAAGAGAGUGGUUCUGGUCCAGAUUCUUGUCUUCCUCUGCAGGUCCUGGGCUGUUCUCCCUCACCUAGCCUGGUGUGCGCUGGGAAGUCUCUUUCCUGCUUCAGAUGGAUUCACUCAUUCCUGUGUUUCCUUAGGCACUCACCAGAAGUAUAGACCUGACACCUCGGGUCACUUUCACCUGCUGACUUCUGUGGACAUUCUAUAGCCUACCUCUGUCUCUCUGAUCCAUCCCCAGGGCCUGAACUUGAGCCUACUCAGGGGUUGCUGCUCCUCCUGGUGGGCUUAGCUUUUCUUCAGGAGCUGCAAUGCUGUGCAUCAGGCCUUUAAAUCCCCUUUGGCUUGGAGUUACAGAACUAUAUUCCCUCCCGAGUUAUUCCAUUAAAUACACAUGCGCUUUCAUAUAUACACAAACAUGUUUCUAUACACACGCAUAAACUCAUAUACGCAAAGAAACACACACCUAUACCACUCCCUUCUCUGCAUCAGAGGUCAGGUUAUGUUCCAUCAGUCAAAAUCCAACAUUGUAGGAGUUCUCAUCGUGGUGCAGUGGAAACGAAUCUGACUAGAAACCAGNUGAGGUUGCGUGUUUGAUCCCUGGCCUCUCUCAGUGGGUUAAGGAUCCGGUGUUGCUGCAGCUGUGGCGUAGGCUGGCAGGUAUAGCUCCAAUUAGAUCCCUAGCCUGGGAACCUCAUAUGCUGUGGGUACGGCCCUGAAAAGGAAAAAAAAAAAAAAAAAAAAAAAAAAAAAAAAAAAA